This 1009-nucleotide long non-coding RNA is filed under the name Mus musculus (house mouse). RNAcentral's name for it is "predicted gene 45338". The record is from RNAcentral. Lineage: Eukaryota; Metazoa; Chordata; Mammalia; Rodentia; Muridae.
CAGGAGCAGGCUUUGCACAAACUAUCUGGUUUCAAGUUGCGACUCUCCGGAGUCCCUGGGAAGGUGCCCCAGGGACAGGGCCCCCAGGAUUGAUGAGACUCCCCCAUCCCCAGCCGCCCAGAGGAUAAGCAGGUGCCAUUGGAAGCCAGAAGAAGCCAUCAGUUCUACUGAGGCUGGAGCUACAGGUAGUCGUGAAUUGCCUGAUGUGGAUUCUAGGACGGAACUCCAGUUCUCCACAAAAGCAUCAAUUAUGUUUCUGCUUUGGAGCUUCUGGCAAGCUGUUGAAGGAGGUAUCUAUAACUACCGUGAUUCUGGACCCUACGAAGAGACGUUCAUGAUGCUUCACACAUUCCACAGUUCUUCACAGCCUGUGAACCGUCAUGCUACUAAAAGAAUGUCCACAUGAAUACUGUUGGGGGAAGUAACCACGUGAAGACUUUAGAAAAAGACCCCCUUGGGCCCAGCACAGAGCAGUGAUUUCAGCAGAACCCUGCCAGAGUGGGUUCAAGGGAUUCAUCCAAGCCUGGCACAAGAGAGCCGUUGGGUGAAAACUCAAGGAGCUGCUACAAAGUCAACUGAAGAAAUGAGUCUCGACUAAGCUUCAUUAAACUGCAAGUGGUCCUUGCUGCUCUCCCUCCCCUGUGGCCCUCACUGCAGGCUGAACUGCUUUGCACUGCAAACUCCGGUCUGAGGAGUGGAGCUGAGAAACCUAGCCAUAAGAGGAGAUGGAAAGAGGUAAGAGCCAGAGGUUAUGGAUGCCUCAAAGGAAGCAGUGUCCUCCAGACACAACAGGACUGAUGCACACAUGAGCUCACAGAGACUGUGUCAACACAAACAAGAUUUCUUUCUGGGAGGGAGGGGCUUGUUGACACCUCCCACUUAGAGCAGAGUGUGGAACUGAUAUUGUUAAUUGGCUCUAACCUGUGAGCUUGUGGCUAUUUUCUUCAAUAUAUUAUUUUAUCUUUCCUGUAAUUUUCAUAGCCUCUAAUAAAGAGUAUGUUGGAGUUUU